RNAcentral lists this ribosomal RNA (1396 nucleotides) under uncultured bacterium. RNAcentral describes it as "bacterial SSU rRNA". It matches the Rfam family "Bacterial small subunit ribosomal RNA". The record is from RNAcentral.
GAGUUUGAUCAUGGCUCAGAUUGAACGCUGGCGGCAUGCUUUACACAUGCAAGUCGGACGGCAGCACAGGGAAGCUUGCUUCUUGGGUGGCGAGUGGCGAACGGGUGAGUAACAUAUCGGAACGUACCGAGCAGUGGGGGAUAACUAAUCGAAAGAUUAGCUAAUACCGCAUAUAUUCUGAGGAAGAAAGCAGGGGACCAUUUGGCCUUGCGCUGUUUGAGCGGCCGAUAUCUGAUUAGCUAGUUGGUGGGGUAAAGGCCUACCAAGGCGACGAUCAGUAGCGGGUCUGAGAGGAUGAUCCGCCACACUGGGACUGAGACACGGCCCAGACUCCUACGGGAGGCAGCAGUGGGGAAUUUUGGACAAUGGGCGCAAGCCUGAUCCAGCCAUGCCGCGUGUCUGAAGAAGGCCUUCGGGUUGUAAAGGACUUUUGUCAGGGAAGAAAAGGGCGGGGUUAAUACCCCUGUCUGAUGACGGUACCUGAAGAAUAAGCACCGGCUAACUACGUGCCAGCAGCCGCGGUAAUACGUAGGGUGCGAGCGUUAAUCGGAAUUACUGGGCGUAAAGCGGGCGCAGACGGUUACUUAAGCAGGAUGUGAAAUCCCCGGGCUCAACCUGGGAACUGCGUUCUGAACUGGGUGACUAGAGUGUGUCAGAGGGAGGUAGAAUUCCACGUGUAGCAGUGAAAUGCGUAGAGAUGUGGAGGAAUACCGAUGGCGAAGGCAGCCUCCUGGGAUAACACUGACGUUCAUGCCCGAAAGCGUGGGUAGCAAACAGGAUUAGAUACCCUGGUAGUCCACGCCCUAAACGACGCUAACUCGUUAUCGGAUUGUAUGGAUCAGAGACUAAGCGAAAGUGAUAAGUUAGCCACCUGGGGAGUCCGCUCGCAAGAGUGAAACUCAAAGGAAUGGACGGGGGUCCGCACAAGCGGCGGAUUAUGUGGUUUAAUUGGAUGAUACGCGAGGAACCUUAACAAGACUUAAAUGGGAAUUGACAGCUGUAGAAAUAUGGUUUUCUUCGGACAAUUUUCAAGGUGCUGCAUGGUUGUCGUCAGAUCUUGCCGUGAGGUGGUAGGUUAAGUCCUGCAACGAGCGCAACCCCUGUCACUAGUUGCCAUCAUUCAGUUGGGGACUCUAGUGAGACUGCCUGCGCAAGCAGUGAGGAAGGUGGGGAUGACGUUAAAUUAUCUCGGCCCUUACGUCGUGGGCCACACAUGUAAUACAAUGGCCAGUUCAGGAAACAGCUACUAUGUGAAUAGAUGCGAAUCUCGAAAGCUGGUCUCAGUUCGGAUUGGAGUCUGCAACUCGACUCUAUGAAGCUGGAAUCGCUAGUAAUCAAGGGUCAGCCAUGGCGCGGUGAAUACGUUCCCGGGCCUUGCACACACCGCCCGUCAAGG